CCUUCGAUAGCUCAGUUGGUAGAGCGGUGGACUGUAGAGGCGCUUCUGUUGAAAUCCAUAGGUCGCUGGUUCAAAUCCGGCUCGAAGGA
Molecule: transfer RNA, 89 nt
Filed under: Operophtera brumata (winter moth)
Lineage: Eukaryota; Metazoa; Arthropoda; Insecta; Lepidoptera; Geometridae
Rfam family: tRNA
About the family: Transfer RNA (tRNA) molecules are approximately 80 nucleotides in length.
Source: Rfam by way of RNAcentral